This 481-nucleotide ribosomal RNA is filed under the name uncultured bacterium. RNAcentral describes it as "partial 16S ribosomal RNA". It matches the Rfam family "Bacterial small subunit ribosomal RNA", at positions 28 to 507 of the family's 1533-position model. The record is from RNAcentral.
GAUGAACGCUGGCGGCGUGCUUAACACAUGCCAGUCGAACGAAGCACUUUAUUUGAUUUCCUUCGGGACUGAUUAUUUUGUGACUGAGUGGCGGACGGGUGAGUAACGCGUGGGUAACCUGCCUUGUACAGGGGGAUAACAGUUGGAAACGGCUGCUAAUACCGCAUAAGCGCACAGCAUCGCAUGAUGCAGUGUGAAAAACUCCGGUGGUAUAAGAUGGACCCGCGUUGGAUUAGCUAGUUGGUGAGGUAACGGCCCACCAAGGGGACGAUCCAUAGCCGAGAUGAGAGGGUGGCCGGACACAUUGGGACUAGGAAACGGCCCGAACUCCUACGGAAGGCAGCAGUGGGGAAUAUUGCAAAAUGGGCGAAAGCCUGAUGCAGCGACGCCGCGUGAGCGAAGAAGUAUUUCGGUAUGUAAAGCUCUAUCAGCAGGGAAGAUAAUGACGGUACCUGACUAAGAAGCACCGGCUAAAUACGUG